CCUACGGGAGGCAGCAGUGGGGAAUAUUGGGCAAUGGGCGCAAGCCUGAACCAGCCAAGUCGCGUGAGGGAAGACGGUCCUAUGGAUUGUAAACCUCUUUUGUCGGGGAGCAAAAGACGCCACGCGUGGCGUUCCGAGAGUACCCGAAGAAAAAGCAUCGGCUAACUCCGUGCCAGCAGCCGCGGUAAUACGGAGGAUGCGAGCGUUAUCCGGAUUUAUUGGGGUUAAAGGGUGCGCAGGCGGAAGAUCAAGUCAGCGGUAAAAUUGAGAGGCUCAACCUCUUCGAGCCGUUGAAACUGGUGUUCUUGAGUGAGUGAGAAGUAUGCGGAAUGCGUGGUGUAGCGGUGAAAUGCAUAGAUAUCACGCAGAACUCCGAUUGCGAAGGCAGCAUACCGGCGCUCAACUGACGCUCAUGCACGAAAGUGUGGGUAUCGAACAGGAUUAGAUACCCCUGUAGUC
Molecule: ribosomal RNA, 459 nt
Filed under: uncultured bacterium
Lineage: Bacteria
Description: partial 16S ribosomal RNA
Rfam family: Bacterial small subunit ribosomal RNA
Source: RNAcentral